CCUCACCUGACCCCAGGCUUUCAUCACCAGGCCCUAAUGGCAGUCCUGUCUGUUGGUGAGUCCUUUGAGUGUGGAGAGGAGGACGGCGAUUCAGAACUGAGGCUUCCCAUCCACACAGCCCAGGAGUGGUGGCCAGGGAAAAUGGUCUUAGGGACCCCAUCUGACACCCUGGAAGGAUGGGCUGCGAAGCCAGUUGGAGUCCGCGAUUCCAAGGGCUUGUCUGACCUGGACGGAGGCAAAGCUGUGUGCAGGGCGGUUCCUCUUCCUGACAGGCUGGGGGACUGUUGAUGUCCCCACCUGCCUUUUUCUGGCCAUACUAUCCUGAUGCUGCCUGUGGGAAGGUCCUGGGGGUUGCUAGCUAGGUGUCCUUGCAGGCCAAUGUCUAGGGGAGAACUGAGAUUGGUGGCAUAGGAGUGGCUUAGCAGGACUGAGAGGAUGAGAGAAGCUUUGUCCAGCCUGGGGACCACGCCCAAGUGCACAUUUGGUCAGCGGGCAAAGAAGGCAGUGCACGGAGCUCCUAAGAGGGUGGGAGCCUCAGCCUCCCAGGUCUCCUGUGUAUCCUGCAGAGUGGCCGGAGGGUGACCACCAGGAGGCACAGGCAGCAUGAGUGCCAGAGCACUGAUGUAGGGGUGAGAAGUGAACGGUGUGGGAUGGCGUGGAGCGCCUCCAGGGUGCUCUGCCUCCCACCGUGUGCUCUGCACCCUGUUCUUCCCCUGCGGUAGCAGCUCCUCCCGUCCUUCAGGACACUCAGCAGCUGGGGCUGGGUUUCCACUCUACAGCAGCACUUGCCUAACAUGUGCAGGGGCCUGGACCCAGUCCCAGCACCAAAGGGGAAAGACUACCCAGCGGUGGGUUCUGGUUCCUGUCUUCUGCUUCUGCCUGGCCCUGCUCUCAGGCUGCCCUCCCCUGGUGGAGCCCCCAGACCCUGCUCCCCAGAAGGGCAGCCUCUGAUGGCUUCUGGCCCUUCCUAUGAGUGUUCCUAUGCUCUUCUCCAUUUGAAGAGAGACUGAAGCAGGAGCCGGGCCUCUCCUUGGAGACAGUGCAUGCCUACCUACCUCUGCAAAGUGUGGCACCGGGCCACCUGGGAAGGGAAGCCCUGCACCAUGGCCCGCCCCAGCCUUGUCCCUUGUCUUGUACCUCACAGUCCAGGUGCCAGGUGAAGAGAGGACCGCAGGGCCUUGAGACCUGUGGAGGAGCAGUGGACAGACGAGAACUCAAGGCUGAGCCAGGGCACUGGGUGUGUGCAGCCUGUGUCCAGCAUGCCCCUCGGGAGGCCAGUCUCUGCCUGGGUCACGGUCUGGGAGGAAGUGUAGCAGCCCGGGGCCCAGCCUUGCCAUUUGUUGUUAUAGCAGCAGGGUUUGUCUGAGGCAGGGUGUGUGCUGUGCUAUGAGGGUGUGGGGUGCCAGGCACACGUGGCCAGGCCCCUGGGGAUGGAUGUGGCUCAGCAAUGACCAGCCUUGUGCCUGGAUGGCAGCUCACCAGAAGGCUGACUUUCCUGAUCUGUAAAACAUGGGCCACAGCGGCACUGAUUCCCCUAGGGCUGUGUGAGGACUUGGCAGAUGGUGUCUGUCGCCGUGCUCUCUGUCUUCAUCUUGUCUGGGGAAACACGUAGGACAAGGAGGGUCACAGACCCUGCCGCAGCAGGGGGUGGGGGACUGGGAGCCAUGAGGCCAGGAUGUGUGCCAGCUCCAGGGGCCACUGAAGGCCUCCUGGACAAGAGGACCUGGGUCUUGAGAGAUGAACACAAGUCUUAGGAGUGAAGCUGACAGCUCCUGGAUGGAAGCAGUAGCUGACAGAAGCACAGGCUGCACGGCCCUGUGCACACAGGCCUCCAGCUCCCCCACCACCCUGGAAGAGGGUCUGCUAUUAUUUCCGAGUUCAGAGGAGGGUCAAAGACACAGACACCCUAUAAUUUGUCCAGUCACAGAGCUAGAGAGGGAUGGAACCAGGCCUGGAAGCCGGGAGCCUGGCCCAGAGCCUGUGCACAUGGAGAGGGAGCAUCUCUAGUGGGUGAGCAGUGGUGGAGCUGUGAGGAAAAUGGGCUGGACCUCGGACAGGUCCCACCAGGGCAUCUGGUUGGCUCCUCGGGUCUGUGCUUCCCAGGUUUCAUGGGCUGCCAGGUUGAAAAGUGUUUGGGAGGCUGACAUAGAACUGCUAACUUUAAAAUCUGCCAAGUAAGGAUUUUAUUUUUUCUUUUAAACCAAAACUCUGCAAGUGGUCUUGCUGGCCACUUCUGAGUUUCUUGCCAUGUAACCUUGGUUAAGAGACUGGGUACCUCUGAGUCUCUGAGAAAACUGGGACCCCCAGCCUCACUGGCCUGGGAAGCCCUCUCAGCACCCAUCUCUCAGAGGUCUUGGAUAACACUGGAUGUGUCUGGACCUCCUCCCGGCCUCAGACAAAACAGGGCUAGUGCUCACUGCCAGAGAAGCCACACAGGCCUAGGCCAGCUCUGCUGCUGUCGCCUAACAGGGGGUGGGACUUAGCAGUUUUGCCCUUCAGAUGCCCUAGUAAAGAGGUCUGCCAGGGCUCUCCAUCCAACAUGGUCCUUUCCUUCCAAGAGCAGGAGCACGGACUCUGUAUUAGUUAGACAUGACCAGUAGUUCUGUCUGUCCUAGAGGCCAGUGUAGGCCCUGGGGGCUUCUGGCCUCAGGGCCGUAGGAAGAGAACAAGCCCUCAUCUUGGUGGCAUUGACCGUGGGUUCCUGUGCCACUGUGGAGUCUGCAGCCUCCACACUUGAGUGGGGCCUCCAGCAGCCUGGGCCACCCAGAAUGGUAAAUACUCCAGUAGCAGAUAGUCACAGUUUGGUGUUUCGUCUUGUCCUAAAUGCUUCCUGAAACAAAAUGAACAUAUUUGAUGCCACUAAUGAUGUUUUUAAAAAGAAGGAAUCACAUAAUUCAUUCUAAGACCACCAUCUAUCUGUUGCUGCAAUCCUGUUUUCUGUAUGCUUCUGAGGAGACCUCACAGUGGGUCUCAGGACUGCCUUCCUCAUUCCUGCUUUGCUGAGACAAGCUCAUGACCCUUGCAGGUCUCCUGGGAAGUGGCCCAGACCUGUGCUCUAGGGCUUGUCCCAGAGAAGCCUGGGAUGGAGAGGCCCAGGCCAGCUUAUAAGCAUUGCCAGCUUGAAUGCACUGGUUGGUUCCUGAGUUCCAACAGAGUCUUCAGGGGUGGAGACAGGCCACCCGAGGUGGAGUGCUGAUGGAGCUGUGUGGCCAAGGUGGGGUAGAGCAGAUUGUCCACUCCUGGGCAGCUGCGGGCUGCCAUGGCACUAAGGCAGAGCUGGGCAGUGGCGACAAGAGCCGGUGGCUGGGUGACUGAGUGUGUAUUUUGGGCAGUUACUUUCUGAAGUGGCUUUAGUGGUUGACAUUAAGGAAGAGGCCUCUUGGCAGAAGGAAAAGAUUGAAGGAGUUCUANNNNNNNNNNNNNNNNNNNNNNNNNNNNNNNNNNNNNNNNNNNNNNNNNNNNNNNNNNNNNNNNNNNNNNNNNNNNNNNNNNNNNNNNNNNNNNNNNNNNNNNNNNNNNNNNNNNNNNNNNNNNNNNNNNNNNNNNNNNNNNNNNNNNNNNNNNNNNNNNNNNNNNNNNNNNNNNNNNNNNNNNNNNNNNNNNNNNUCAGGGGUGGAGACAGGCCACCCGAGGUGGAGUGCUGAUGGAGCUGUGUGGCCAAGGUGGGGUAGAGCAGAUUGUCCACUCCUGGGCAGCUGCGGGCUGCCAUGGCACUAAGGCAGAGCUGGGCAGUGGCGACAAGAGCCGGUGGCUGGGUGACUGAGUGUGUAUUUUGGGCAGUUACUUUCUGAAGUGGCUUUAGUGGUUGACAUUAAGGAAGAGGCCUCUUGGCAGAAGGAAAAGAUUGAAGGAGUUCUACGGUUUCCUCCCAUUAAUCACCCUGGCGCUGUGGCUCCCUGCUGCAGGGGUGUGCACUCCUGGCCUGCGGUAGUGCCUACUGGCUUCUUGGGCAGGGAAGCUGUUGUGAACCAAGGCCCUCUCCCUCCAAAGGCCAGCGGGUAUAAAUCUGCCCAAGGUCACAGGAGAUUUUGUGGUGGCAUGGUGGAGACCAGAACCCUCCAUCUAAGAGCCACACUCUGAUCCCCUGGUUUCUAAAGUGGGACUGGCCCACCUGUAGUAGCUGUCCCACUCUCCUGCAAACCCUGCACCCUUGGAGAUCAAGUAUCCCAGACGCAGGUAGGCAGGAAAUGAAUGCCUAAACCCCUCACAGAGACCGGAAAACAGAUACACCCAUGGAGACAAGGCCAGACCAUGACUCAGGCCCAAUUGUAGGACACUCUGUUCUCCCAUGUACCUAGCCACCCAAGAAGGAAAGGGCCAGACACUGCCAUUAGAACUUGCCCAGCCUUGAGCUCUGAAAGAGCUAGCUUGUCCCUUUCCUCAGAGUGACAGCUGGUGCAGGGUUUGCAGGAGAGUGGGACAGCUGGUACAGAUGGGCCAGUCCCACUUAAGAAACAAGGGGAGCAGAUGUGGCUCUUAGAUGGAGGGUUCUGGUCUCCACCAUGCCACCAGAAACUCCUGUGACCUUGGGCAGAUUUAUACCUCUCUGGUCUUCACUCUCAGUACAAAAUCUGUCCAGGUUCCUUCUAAUGUGGACCUGGAGAGAACGCAGGACUAACUGUCUUCGAGUGGGUGGGAAGUAUUCCAGGUGAGCCUUUGUGAACAGGUUGACGGGACUUGGGUGAAAACAUUGUGACAGGCUGGCUUUGCAGUAACCUCUGGCCUUUGUUGUCUUAGGAAGACAUGGCUGCUCACGUGGGUGCUUCCCGGACUCCCCAGGAAGUGAUGGAGCACUAUGUGAGCAUGUACAUCCACGGGAACCUGGGGAAGGCCUGCAUCCCCGACAGCAUCCCCAACCGGGUGACAGAUCACACCUGCCCCAGCGGAGGCCCCCUCUCGCCCAGCCUCACCACCCCGUUGCCUCCGUUGGACAUCUCAGUGGCCGAGCAGCAGCAGCUAGGCUACAUGCCACUGCGGGACGACUAUGAGAUCGAGUACGACCAGGACGCCGAGACACUCAUCAGCGGGCUGUCCGUGAACUAUGACGACGACGAUGUGGAGAUCGAGCUCAAGCGCGCCCACGUGGACAUGUAUGUGCGGAAGCUCAAGGAACGGCAGCGCCGGAAGAACAUCGCCCGUGACUACAACCUGGUGCCUGCCUUCCUGGGGAAGGACAAGAGGGAGAAGGAGAAGGCGCUGAAGCGGAAGAUCACCAAGGAGGAGAAGGAGCUGCGGCUGAAGCUGCGGCCGCUGUACCAGUUCAUGUCGUGUAAGGAGUUUGACGACUUAUUUGAAAAUAUGCACAAGGAGAAGAUGCUGCGAGCCAAGAUCAGAGAGCUGCAGCGGUACAGGCGAAACGGAAUCACCAAGAUGGAAGAGUCGGCUGAGUACGAAGCCGCCAGGCACAAGCGGGAGCGAAGGAAAGAGAACAAGAACAUGGCUGGCUCCAAAAGGGGCAAGGAGGAGGGCAGGGAUGGCGAGUUUGCAGCCAUCGAGAACCUUCCUGGGUUUGAGCUCUUGUCAGACCGUGAGAAGGUGCUCUGUAGCUCUUUGAACUUGAGUCCAGCGCGCUAUGUGACGGUGAAGACCAUUAUAAUCAAAGACCACCUCCAGAAGCGGCAGGGAAUCCCCUCCAAAAGUCGCCUUCCCAGUUAUCUGGACAAAGUCCUAAAGAAAAGGAUUUUAAACUUCCUCACAGAAAGCGGGUGGAUAUCCAGGGAUGCCUCCUGAACAAGGGUGUCCUGGAGCGUCCCCAGACACUUCCAAGGCUGGAGCAAUGCUCAAGUAGCUUGUGAGCCAAAUGGCAUGGGGGGAGGGGAGAGGAACCGCCUUUUCCCCUGUUGCUCUUUUUAAACAAAUUGAGUUCCUUUUUUUAAGAUGUAAAAAUCUUUUCAAUGGUCCUCUGAAAGAAGCAAUAGUAACAAUCUUAUAUUGGAUCAUGGGGGAGACAAAUGUUUCUAUUUUAACUUGGUCCUAAAAGUAACCCUUGAAGAUGAUGAUUUGCCUUUGCGUGUUCCGUUUGGAGACUGUUAAGAGAUUGGAUGAUUUCCUUUUCUUUCCUGAGCCGCCUUCCCUUCGGGUGCAAAGCUGUGGGUGCAGGGAGUGACAUUUUCCUGCUGGGCCGCCAGCCACCCAUCAGCUUUCCCUGGUGACACACGCUCUUCUCAGGCAGGGCUGCUAUAGGCGCCCCUUUUCUGAGCCCACUGAUGCCCCCCCCACGACACCCCACAUGGCCCGGGGCACGAGGCACUUUAUAGAGGGGCCCAUGGGACACAGACCUGCCCCUGUGUAACAGAUGAAGAUGAGGCCAGAGAGCACCAGGAGGUUUCCUUACACACUUGAGGAAGAAGCCUUGUUUACACAGUUGAUCACGUGAGCUUCCACUUAGCUGUCAGCAGCGGCCAAGUGUGAGUUUGCAGCUCCCAAAUCCCAAAUCCUGCCUCUUUUUAGUCUGAGCCCAGCCUGCUGCCCACUUGGGGAUACCCCCUGGGUACAUCCUUGUUUUGUCCCAAGGAUGGGAACCCUGGAGUGGGAGGGUCACAGGACUAGUGGGAACUGCCUGGCUUCCGGGGGUGCCCCUUGCUGCUGUGACUACCUGUAGUGCAUUUGACUUGGAAGACCCCAUUUUAAAGAGUUCCAGGCCAAGUGCUCAGGGUUCUGAGUUCUGGCAUUAGCUUCCUCAGGAUUCUUCUCAGUUACAAGUCCCCUUCUCACAGAAAACAAUGACCAUGCUAGCCCAGCUAGGCGAAUUAUUUAGUGCAUGGCCAGGCCUGCUCCCGUUGGCUGGGCAGAGCCAUAGUUCCAGCCCACACAGGCCCUGGUAAGUGUGGCGGUUCCCGGCUGUGUCUUGGGGCUACUGUGCUGCUUCCUGCUCGCCCUCUUGCUUCUGACUCAAAAAUGGCUCCUUCCCAGCCCAACCGAAAAGCUCGUUUCUGGGGCCUUCUUCAAGGACAUACACGGUACCUUCCUUUUAAACUUGAGGAAGUCGCUUGUCUUCCGGCUGCUCAGGGUUCUCGUGCCCAGACCCUGCUUUAGAGUCCCUGGAUGACCAUAGACCCCAUUCUCCCUGAACUCAUCCUGCCCCUGUGCCCCCAUAGGUACAAGAGCCUGUUUACCUCCUAGAAUAUUUGAGCUUGAAGUACAUUAAAGUGAAGUUAUUCAAAGGAAAAAAAAAAACCCUCCUCAUUUCCAAGGACGACUUGAUUAUGUGCCUUUUCCUUUCUUUUUACAUCCUCUGUCCCUUAGGGUGAGUUUUUCAGCAUUAAACAAAACAUUCAAGUACACUGUUUAGUUGCAAAGUGUGUUGCGGGCUGGCAGAGGAGUACCUGCUCGCUAGACCAGGGCUUCUCAGCAGAUGCUGAGCAGUGACACUGCUCCAGAGUGCUGGCUGCGUGCUGCGCCAGGGACAGUGACAAGGAUGGUGCUGAGUUCUUAUAUCAUCACAGCCAGUGGUUCUCAGAGUGUGGAUCUUGGGUACCUGUUUACAAAUGCAGAAUAUGGACCCCACCCGGUCCUCUUGAAUUGGAAAUUCCAUGGUGGAGACUAGCAAGCUGUCUUUCAAACCCUCUAGGUGACUGGGAGGGAGCUCAGUUUUGACAGCCACUGGCUUUAGCUGUCCUGGUGUCUCAUUUGUUGAUUUUCUACACCACCCGAAUACUAGUUUGGUGAGGUUGAGUCUAGUCUUAUUUUUUUAUAUAAAAUGAUAGGCCUACAUUAAGCUUGAGAAGCAGAGGAUCCUGAAAAUGUGUGGCCCAGGCCAAGAGUUGUCCAGUGAAAACCUUUGUGCUUAAGCAGUUUUGUAGUGUGUGUGUGUGUGUAUAUAUAUAUAUAUAUAUAUGUGUGUGUGUGUGUGUGUGUGUGUGUAUAUAUCUUUUUGAUGGUAUGAAGAAUUUAUUUAGGCUUGACUGUUUUAAGACACCAUAAUGAAUGUAUAAUUAAUUUAUGUCAAAGUAUUAAUAUGUUGUUACAACAGGAAAGUAAUUUUAGGAUUGGUUGCCUCUUAUCCCAUCUGCUCCAGCUUUCUGUUAUAUUAGUUCUUACCUCUGCAUUAGUUUGGAGUGUUUAUAUUCAAUUCUCACAAUAAAUUAGCUACCAUAAUCCUGUGAACUAAAUCUUUUCAAAUUUUACACAAACUGUCUUUACAAAGUCCAAAAAGAUAGAUAGGUAAUUUUUCAGGCAUUUGAAAUAAUGCUCUCUGGGAGGCCAACAUUCCAAGAAUGUAUUAAAAACUACAACUCUGGCUACCAUUUUUAUUAUUCUUUUACAUAUUAAACAAGUUGAGAACAGAACAGUGCCUUUGCUUGCUUCUUACCAUUUCUCGAGCCUCUGUGCCUGCUUCCUUGCAGAGCCUUAAAUGCAGCAGUGAGCCAACACUGA
RNAcentral lists this long non-coding RNA (8376 nucleotides) under Marmota monax (woodchuck). Lineage: Eukaryota; Metazoa; Chordata; Mammalia; Rodentia; Sciuridae. The record is from RNAcentral.